UGUGUGUGUGUUGUGUGUGUGUGUGUGUGUGUGUGUUGUGUGUGUGUGUGUGUGUGUGUUGUGUGUGUGUGUGUUGUGUGUGUGCGUGCUUGAGAGAGAGAGAGAGGAGAGAGAGAGAGAGAGAGAGAGAGAGAGAGAGAGAGAGAGAGAGAGAGAGAGAGAGAGAGGAGAGAGAGAGAGAGAUGUGGGUUUGCCCAUGAGAUAUGUGCCAAUGACACUGAAAAAUGACGAAUGUUUACAUUCUCAAAAAACUCCUCUUAUUGCACAUUUCAAGGAAUAAUGCUGACGGUAGCUCAGCAGUAACAUUCAGUCCAUGCAGGUGACCAAAGACUCAAUAUGCUCUGGCCCAUGUUCAUAUCAAGCAACAGUCCAUGAAUUAUUCUUGAGCAGCACCAACAAGGUACUGAGGUGCAUUCUGUGUCCUUCUAGAAGUCCCUAAGGAGGAAACGCUGCAGGAACUUCCUGAAAGGAGACAGCAGGCUGUUGCUGAGGUGAGCUUGCCUGUCUUUCCCUGAGGAACACAUGUGCUUUCUUAGAUAUUUCCAAUCACUUCUGUUCUGUGUCCUUCUAGAAGUCCCUAAGGAGGAAACGCUGCAGGAACUUCCUGAAAGGAGACAGCAGGCUGUUGCUGAGGUUGCCGCAGGAGUACAGGAGAAAGAUGUCCCUAAGGAAGAAAAGCUGCGUGCCCUUCCUGAAAGGAAGCAGAAGGCUGUGGCUGAGGUGGCCGUAGGAGCACGGGAGAAAGAUGUCCCUAAGGAAGAAAAGCUGCGUGCCCUUCCUGAAAGGAAGCAGAAGGCUGUGGCUGAGGUGGCCGUAGGAGCACGGGAGAAAGGUAUGUAUUCUGGAAACAGUUUCUUGCUGAGGAAAAUGUUUAGAUGGUGA
RNAcentral lists this long non-coding RNA (882 nucleotides) under Felis catus (domestic cat). RNAcentral's name for it is "lncRNA (ENSFCAG00000050348.1)". Lineage: Eukaryota; Metazoa; Chordata; Mammalia; Carnivora; Felidae. The record is from RNAcentral.